AGAUAUCUCACCAUCCAUCACGAAGUUCUGUUUCUCAAUUAAAUACUCUUAACUUAAUUUCUUGAAGAUGCCAACGAUUUAUGUAAGCUUUCUUAUUUUUAGUUUUAUAGUGUAAAAUAAGAAUUUUUUCCCUCACUUUUCCUUUAGUUAUCUGUAACUUUAGGGGGUUUGUUCACAGGAGAAACGACUAUGGUGGUGAGGUAGGCAAGAUAGUAGAGGAGGUGAUGAGAGCAACGACUAUGGUGGUGGGAGCAGUAGCUACGGUGGCGAAGGCAGCAACUACAGUGGUAAACAUAGUGGUUGCGGUCAGUAUGAUGGUGGAGGUCAACUCCCGAUGGGGAUAGUUGCGCAAGAGAGAAGAUGAAUGGGGGAGAGAGAAUUUGGGUGAAAUCAAAAAGAAGAUCGGAAAAAUGGGGAAGCCAUUGGGAACAACAAGAUGUCUGCCCCUUCUCACUCCACUUCUUUCGCCAUUGUUUCUCGCUCUAACAAAAUUUUGGGUCGGGUCAGCUAAGUGGAUUGAAAUAAAAUUUAUUUUUUAUUUCGGUACGAGAUUGUCACGUGGCCCAGUAAAAAAAUGACACGUCAUUAAAUUGAAGGUCCACCGGUUAUGCUGUUAGUUGUGGAGGUAAUUUUAUUAAUAGAAUUAACGUCGCGUGUUUUUUUGGACGGAUAGAUGAAUGAAAGGUGUUUGUAAACCAUUUAGCAACAACAGGG
This 714-nucleotide long non-coding RNA is filed under the name Nicotiana tabacum (common tobacco). Its description in RNAcentral is "long non-coding RNA (NTAB_LNC001672)". Lineage: Eukaryota; Viridiplantae; Streptophyta; Magnoliopsida; Solanales; Solanaceae. The record is from RNAcentral.